CGUAUGGUGUGCAACUUCGGGUUGUAUAGCGAUACGGCCCAGAAAUGAGGU
Regulatory RNA element from Aliiglaciecola lipolytica E3, 51 nucleotides. It matches the Rfam family "L31-Gammaproteobacteria ribosomal protein leader". The record is from Rfam. NCBI's taxonomy places the organism in Bacteria, Pseudomonadati, Pseudomonadota, Gammaproteobacteria, Alteromonadales, Alteromonadaceae.